CUCUCCACAGAGUUUCUGGAUGGAGUGUGGCAAUUGCAAAAGAAUCUUCGUUACAAUAAGUAGCAAUACCAACGUGUGCCCCUUCUGCACGGCACGCAAUGAAGCUUCGCGACCAAUGCUGAGACAGAGGGAACCAAACCGGAACUUCCGUCAGGAUUCUUACGAUUUCGGGAGCAAUCAGCCCAGGGAUAGUGGCCAACCAGGACGAACUCAACAGCAUGAGGAUGACCGCAUCUCCGCACCUGGGGUUAACUUCGAAAAUCUCAAUAUAGUUGCAGACAGCGUAACUUUUAACAUCAAAGGUUGACUACGCAAGCUGCAGAUGAUACCUAGCCAUUUUUAGAAGCAUAGAGACGAGCAUUAAAUCGCUAGCGAUCUUCAUGAGUAAGCCAAGGUCUAGACAUGUGGUUCUUCCAGACCGUCAAGCAAAAAUGACGGAUUUUGUGAAUAAGGUACAUCUAGCUUACUUUGGAAUUAAACUAGGGGACCAGGAUAAGCCAUUCGCUCCCAUUCCUGUUGCAAAACAUGUGUAUAGAACUUACGGGAUUGGAGGAACAAGAAAAGGAAGAGUGUGCCAUUUGGUGUCCCAAUGGUGUGGAGAUAAGGGAAAGAUCACGUUACCGACUGCUACGUUUGCAAGAACCAGCACCAUGUUCAGUACCCUGAUGUUCCUUCUGCCAUAUAACCAGUCCUCCAUGGCCCUGAUCUUCCUGUUCCUGAGCCAAAUAUCACCAUGGAAUCUAGUUCUGAUUCCGAAUCUAGUGACAUAACUAAUACAGCUGAGUGUGGUACAUACAGGCCAGAAGAGGACGACCAACCGGUGCCUUUAACCCAAGCCGAAUUCAAUGACCUGGCACGAGACCUGAACCUCUCCAAGGCGUGUGCCUAGCUACUGGGUUCUCUUCGAGAGAAACGUCUGCUGGCACCAGGAACAACAUUCUACUGGUAUCGAGACCACGAGAGAGAAUUCAGAAAAUUCUUCACGUUUGAUGGAGCAUCUUCACUGGUCUACUACAACAAUAUUGCUGACCUGAUUGAAUUACUUGGUCUGAAGUAUGAUGCUAUGGAAUGGAGACUUUUCAUUAAAUCAUCUAACAGAAGUUUCAAGGCAGUUCUUCUGAAUAACGGAAAUAAGUUUUCAUUGAUCCCUGUUGGGCACUCGGGUGAAAUGAAAGAAUCCAACAAAAGCAUGGAACGUCUGUUGUCUGCUCCGAACUACCUGGAACAUAAAUGGUUGAUCUGUGGAGAUCUUAAAGUUGGAGUCAUCCUAGGACUUUAAGGUGAUUACACAAAGUAUCCAUGCUUUCUCUGCUUAUGGGAUAGCCGUGCUGAUGACCAGCAUUAUAUCAGACGAGAGUGGCCAUCAAGACAAGGAUUAAUACCUGGGUCACACAAUGUUCUGUCCCACCCUCUGGUUGAAUUGAGCAAGAUAUUGCUUCUACCUCUCCACAUCAAACUCGGUCUCAUGAAGAACUUUGUAAAGGCAUAGGACAGGGAAGGCAGAGGGCUUAUUUCCUCCAUCAGAAGUUUCAACAAAAAAGCAUGGAGAAACUCGAGGCAGGUAUUUUUGAUGCUCAAAUAAGGGAACUCAUCAAGGACGCUAGUUUUGAUGAUGCACUGAACCCUGCUGAACUCUCUGCCUGGUUGUCCCUUAAGUCAGUCAUUACAAACUUUCUUGGCAACCAUAGAAGUUCCCAGUAUCAGAAGGUGGUUGAUGAGUUAAUGGAGAAUUUCCGCCAACUUGGUGAGCGCUUGUCAGUGAAAAUGCACUUCCUCCGGUCUCAUCUGGACUAUUUUCCAGAGUAUUGUGGAGACUUCAGUGAAUAACAGGGCGAGCACUUUCACCAAGAUAGUGUUAUGAAGGAACGCUAUCAAGGCCGAUGUAAUGUCAACUUUCUGGCCGAUUACUGGUGGUGCAUGAAGAGGCAUGUAGAGUCUGCUCAGCAUAAACGGAAGUCCCUGAAGAGAUCAUUCAUCCAUGAGUAGCUUCCUUACUUCAUUAUACUCUUCUUGCUAUCUAUUCAAAAUAUUUUGUAAGCCUUCUGUGA
Macrobrachium nipponense is the source of this 2048-nucleotide long non-coding RNA. RefSeq lists it as uncharacterized. Lineage: Eukaryota; Metazoa; Arthropoda; Malacostraca; Decapoda; Palaemonidae. The record is from RefSeq and is a predicted model, not a curated record. The transcript has 3 exons.